Molecule: long non-coding RNA, 239 nt
Filed under: Lathyrus oleraceus (garden pea)
Lineage: Eukaryota; Viridiplantae; Streptophyta; Magnoliopsida; Fabales; Fabaceae
Description: Pisum sativum (pea) long non-coding RNA (PSAT_LNC017945)
Source: RNAcentral
UUUCUGACAACACAUAUCUCAACGCUCUGUAUUUGGUUUUCCUGUUAGUGCCUCCGACUAGGUUCUCUAAAUAUUCUACAAUCGGUUUCCUCCAGUCUGUUGGGGAUGAUUUGUUGACAGUGAAAACUCCAUGUUCCCAGGACUUCUUGAGUCCAUAGGCUUCCUGACAUUCUUUGUCUAGCCCUUCAUUACGAUUGUUAUUCCUGUCGAGGAUAUCUUCUGUUAGUGGUGGUGUGUUU